CUCACUCUUUAGGUUAAUCAUUUCUCCUUGAUUUUAUAAAGGAGAUUCUACCUGUUUGUCUUGAGCUGCUGACCACCCAAAGUUUUAACGGUUUUAGGUUCAGUUUUGAAAAAAAUUGAGGAAAAGCAAAGUUACUGUUGUUCCUGUGAACUCUGACUGCCAAGAUGCCUCGAUAAACUGAAAACAGAAAUGGAAAAAUGAAGUCUUCUGAGAGCUGUAGUUCAUUCUUCUCUUCUGAGACCAGCUAUCGAAGUAAAUCUCCAGAAAGCCCUGGCUGAGGCCUCUGAAACCUGCACGCAGGAGUGUCUCAUUCUGGGCCAUUCUGACAACUGCUGGAUGCCACCUUCUUUGACACAGUAUCAACAAUCCAACACACCUUUGCCAUCGUUUGGCUUCCAGCAAGGCUGGGGCCGAGGAGCCAGGCCUGACGGACGACACACUCUUGGGAGGCCCCUUCCAAAGGAUGACACUGACAAAGGCCAAGGUGGGCCCAGGCCCCAGUUCUACAACACCUGUGAAAGACACUGCACCAGUGAAGAUCCUGUCAAAGUCAUCCCUCUGGCAAACUUUGCCAUGUCCCACCAGGCAGCAGUGCCUGGGAGUAGCACUACGUUUAUCCAUGAGCACCAGCUAUAAGUGCAUAUCUGACAAAUCAGCUAUUUCAGGCUUUAAGUGUGACUGUAUAUAGUCACAGCCUAACACCGUUCUUGGUGCAUAUACAAAUUUGUUAGGCUUGUGAAUAUUUAUGUAUAUAGAAUCCUAAAUUUGAACUUGAAAAGCUAAAUCCUUAGGACUUAGUUAAAGAAAAUUUACCAUAAUUCUUGGUGAAAUAUAUAAAAUGGGGAAGAAAACUCACAAUCCAGAACCAAUCAAAAGAAAACCAUAAAAACCGGCUUAUUUUCUUAUAUGGGUCUAUAUAGUGCAAAUAUCUGCUAGCAGGUCUUCCUCCCUGUUGAAAGCAAUUUCUUAGUACAGCUUACGGAAUAUCACAGUAAUAUAACUUAACAAUUUUUUCUGUCUUCAUUGUUAUAAUUUUUAGAAUAUUCAUAAAUUUCACCUUCCAUUUGCUUAGCAAUAGAGAUCAAGCGGUCAGUUUCUUUUUUGGUUACUUUACACAAUAGAAAGAGUAAGAUACAUACUUAGGAAGGAUGGUAUGCGUUUCCACCAAAAUUUACCUUUCAUGUAAUUGAGAAGGAGAACGUACUCAAAGACAUGACAGCUGCUUUUGAUUUUAAUUUUCAGUGGUUGAAUCUACAGCUAUUUAUUUGAAAGAAUGCAGUAGAUGAAAUAGAAAGCUCUUAACUAGGCUUUUCUGUGUGAAAUAGACAACAGGACAAGAUACCAUGUAGAUCCAAAAAUAUUACAAGACUUUUUUUUCUAAGAUUUUCCUUUCUACAAUAAUGGAAGCAAUAGUAUAAUGCAUAUGCUUUUCAAGCUAUAAGUCUAAUUUUAUUAUUAUUAUUAUUAUUUUUAAAUCUUGCAGAGCUUGCUUUGGCUACUGUUCCUGUUAGUUGAAAAUUACAUGGGCACUGCUGAAAUCAGUAGGAAACUGGGGUAGUUUUUUGGCUGAUGUCUUAUUGUGGCUUUAAGCUACUGGUGUUUAAAAUAAUAUUAUAGUGAUGUAUAUGUUUGUUUUACACCUAUAAUCAAUCACCUAUUGCAAGUGUUCAGUAAAAGGUUAGCUAUAAUAUUAGUUACUUCACCCCAAACUUAUAAGAUAAAGGAGUAGUUCUCAAUGUAGCUUAGUUUAUUAUUAGAGAAUCACUGACAUUUCUCAGCAAAGAAAGAGGAAUCUAGGUAAUGAAUGCUGGAUAACUGUAAUUACAAACACACUCCAAUCAUGUUAUUUGACAAAGUCUCAGGAUGAUUCUCUGUAAAGAUCAGGAUUUUAUUUCAGCAUUCUGUGUACUGGAUGAUAUAAUAGUAGCAGUAAUAAAACUAGUGAAUUCUACAGUGGAUAAAAUGGAGAUUCCUUUCUUUAAUGAAAAUAAACCCCACCUUUUCCUUUUAGCAUUUGUUACUGCUUAGCCAUUAUUUACAGUAUGUACAUACCAAGAUUCUUUUCCUUAACAAACUGCAUAACUUUCAUCAGUUUUCUUACUACAUUAAGCAAGACAAUUGAUGUUGCGUGGAGGGAAAUUUGAAAGUGUAUGAGUAUUUCCUAUGGAUAGAAUUCUAUGUAAGCUUCAUACUGUAACUUACGUGUAACAUAAAAAUAAAAUUAAAAAUAACUGUGUAAAAAUGCUGUAAUAUUAGCUGCUUGUAAAAAUUUACAGAAGUUCAAGUUGUUGAGGGUUUCCAAUGAAUGCUAAAAGAGCUUCUAUUAUGUGCCCAGCAGGUAUAAGUAGCUUUAUAUAUUGUUGUCCCCACUGUAAAUCUAUUCAAAUCACAUUUACAUUUUAUGUGCAAAGUAAAAAAAAAAGCAUCACUUUUAAUCUACUGAUAGGGUUUAAUUAAUAAACAUCAGAUUACCUGAUGAUGUACUUCUUUUUUGUUGUUGUUUUUGUUUUGUUUUGUUAAUGUAAUUUUCAGUAAUGUUUAGAAAAUAUGUGGCGCACUGCUUUCCAGUUGCAUGUAAAUCCUGGGGAAAAAAAAAUAACAGUCCUUUGGCUACUGACACACAAUGGUUGAUACAGCUCAUUUUCAGUUCCAGAAUAACUAAAAAUUUGACAAAUUAAUUUACACCUAAUAUAUACAGAGCCAUUUGUUGUUUGCUUUGGAGACAUCAGAGUGAGAAAAUUCAGCAGUCCUUUUCAGGGAUAUACAAAAAAGCUUAUCUGUAGUUUACACAGCCUUACCAAACACAUUAAUUGUGCAAAUUUAGAAUAAUGCUGGCAUAUGAUACUUCCUAUUGUAAACAGAGGACUUUAGUUUUUAUUAUAGAAGUCUGCUAUACAAAGUGUGUAUAGAAUUGGCAGCUGCAUUUGAAAACUCAUUUUUUCCCUCUCAACAUGUCCUUUCUGACAGAAUAUUGUAAUUGAAAUUUAUUGGCAAAGCAAUCCAUUUCUACAGUUUUGCUAUUUUCAUAGGAAAAGAUAAAGACACUAGAAUUAUAUUUUUUUCCAGAGGCAGAAAAACAAAACAAAACAAACAAAAAGUUCAGCAAAUUAUUUCUGAAAAACAAACAGACAAAACAACAACAAACACCAAAAUGAAUGGCCAAAAACCAACAAAAACCCCAAGAACAACUGCUUAAACAAGGAUUGUAAAGACGAACAUGAUAAUAGGAAAUGUUAAAUGUCAUAUCCAUGAAAUUGUGUUAUAUUGUAAAAUUCUGUCAAGAUACAUAACACUUAAUUGUAAAUACAUACUGUAUCAGGAGUUACAUGUUGCUCUCAUUUUUACAUAUUAUAUAUCUAAUAGAUAAAAUUAUGCAUUGGAGGCAACAUUUUUUUCUGAAAACUGUUCAAGCGUCAUGUCAGUAUCCAGAGGAAUAACAUUACUAUAUACUCAUCACACAUCUUGCCAUAUAUAUAAAUAAUUUAUCUAGUGCAUAGGCUGUAUAUUUUUGUGUAAUUUUUUUAGUCACUUAACUUAUUUUAUCUUACUUGUGUGAAUUUGUGAAGAAAACGAUCCUAUAUACAAUAUACAGUAAAAUGGUAGUUACAUGAUUAGAUUUGUUUCAUACAGUGUAAUAAUAAAGGAAAACCUUUGCCUUCAAAGUAAUGUGUCACACAGUCUAGCCUAGAUUUUUUUUCCAAACUCAGUACAUGCUUGUUGCACUUCUAACUACUGCAUUGAGAAGAUAAGUGGUAGCAGCAGAAAGAAAGGUACUUUUUUGAUGAUGUAAAGUAGUCAAGUGUAAAAAAAAGAGAUGAACUGAAGUCAAACUGUUCGUAGUAAAAAAAUGCCAGUUCUUUGUUUUCCUAAACUGUGCUGCAUAACUUAAUUCUGAAGGAAUAAUUAGGCCCGUCUACUUGGCCAAACAGAGGCUACAGAGCACCUGCUCUCUCAGGGCUAUGAGCUAGUCGGAUGCAGGUCAUUUAGCUAAUUAUCAUGGCAAUGAGCCCACGCUAAUAGGACCUGAGGGCUUAGGAACGUUAGCGUGAUAGCUCGGUUGAUGCAAAGUUAGUUAUGUGGUUCUGAAUGCAGCCAGGUCUCUUUGUCUGGCACAGGGAUGGAGGCUCGUAGCCGCUUUGUAUCAGGUAUUUGUGUACCCUGUGUAUGUAGAUGUGUGGGUUUUCGGUUUGUUUUUUUUUUUUUUUCUUCUUCCCUGAGAGAAGCGAUAGGUUGCUCUGUUGUGUUCUGGGCAAACUCUAAUCUAGAGAGGAACCACUUCUGCCUCAAAUUAUCAUUGUUAUGUCCGCUUCUAGCAUGGCUGAGCCAGACAGUUGACUUAAAUAAUUAAGUCAUUAAUGGUUGAUUAAUGCAAGGUUGUUUGAUUCAAGCUUAUAACAUUGCGGUUUGAAAAAGCUUGAUCAUUUACACUUGAUUUUGUUCUUAGCAGUUCUAGCUCAAGUCUUGCUUUUGGAGCUUUAAAGCUACUCCUUACUUAAUAAUCACUUAUUACAUGAUUACACUGCAGUUCAUUAAUUAGAUAAGUAAAAAGGGAGGGAUUGGUUUGUGCAGACACAGAGCAAAGUUGAAGGCAAAGAUUUUAUUUGGUAUAUGUAGGAAAAUUGUGUAUAACAUGUUAUCCCUAGUGAAGAAAAGAGACUGACAAUUUCUUGUAAAUAUUUGGGUUUGUAUUUCUGGGAAACGUCCCUGCUCUAUGGCAUACUACAGGAUCUGAGAGUGAGCAGUGUAUGUCUGUGUACUGAAACAGCCCUAACCAUGCUUUACAAAUUGUGCAGUUGGACAUCAUAUAUCAUUGUCCAGCAGCUUUUAAAGUCCAGUAAAUUCGCAGUAGUUCUAUUUCAGGUUUCUGUACAGCAUGUUGUCUUGUUAAUUACAAUGUUUAUUAAUAAACUAGAUCCACAAAAGCAGUUUUUUUCUUUGCACUGUCGUCUUUGAGUUUCUGAAACACAGAUUUUAUUUUAUUUUUUUAAGUAUUCCUCCACCUAUGCUUCCUUCAUUCCUUGCUUCCCAAAACUUAUUUCUUUGUGAAGCCCCAGACUGUAAAGAAGUCAAGGAAAAGUUAACUUAGCUUGCAGUUGCUUCACAGAAGUGAGCAGCAAGCUUUUGGUAGGCCGUGGAAAUAUUCACACUUCAGUAUGCAUAGCAGCCUAGCUUUCUACUAUCAGAUAAAUUUUACGCUUCUCUGUCGCUUCUUUUUGUACAAACCUCCUACCCUCUACUAUGCCUCUGGUACACUUAUUUAUUGAAAAUCAUUACAAGCUGGAGGUUGGAAUGUUUGUAGGUUUUGUAUUGUUAAAAAUGAGAAAAUGAGCUAUUUCUAAUUGAGAGAACGUGGCUAGUGUGUUGUUGUUGAGGUGAAAAGAUUAACCUCUCACUAUGGAUGUCAUCUAAUGAACUGGCAGACAAAUGAGAAACUAAGGAAAUAAUGUUUCGUGCAUUUUCUGUAUUAUUUAGUAUUUAAAAAAGAACUUCUGAUAGUUCUCUUGAUAUCAAGACAGUGGUAUCUUAUUCUUUGACACAAUUAUGACUUUGGAAGCACAGUUUUCUUGUCUGUCUGCUGAACCCCUUUCAAGAAAAGAACGUGCUCAGCCUACAAAUUAAAAUGAACAAACAAACAAAAAAACCUACACCACAUUAGAAGAGAGAAGGCUACCCUGGCUUGGAUCAUAAAUUCUCAAGCAGUAGUGGUCUGGAAGGGCAAACUCAGGAAGUAAUGAAACUCGGAUUUCACAGAGCUAUUAUAAGCCAGUUUUAAGAAUAAUAGGGCAAGACAGAAAUAUGCGGUAUCUGAAGAUUUGCAUAAUUUUAGCAUUGGUGUGUUGCAAAACUGCAGCAGGAUUGCAGAAGUAAUGUUUCCUCAGAAUCAUCUGUUUGCAUUCCUUCCUGUGGUCACAAAAGAAUACAUGGUAUGCUUCUCUGGCUGUGCUGGAAAUAACUGAAUCCCAGAUAUCUGUUGGGGAACUCUAUAGGAUGCAGAGUUUUCACCGAAGUGCUGCAGCACUAAGGGCUGAUAAACUGUUCAAAAGCCUCUAAGACAGACUCCAAGGCUCCCUGCUAGGAAUUAUUCCAGCGAGGUAAUUGCUUGUUAGGAUGUACAAUGGGAUUUAUUUAAAGAACAUGGGUUUACCAGUAGCAGGCAAUAUUGGAGAUGUGCUGCCUAUGUGAUCAUUUAGCACUUUCUUUGCCUUUUCUUCAAGUUUCUUUCAGGUGUGACAUUAGAACUGAGCUGCGGUUUGACUGAAUAGCAGCUAGCUCCUCCUUAGAACGGAUAAGUAUCCAGUAGAAGAAAAUGAGCAAGAAGCCAGUUUCUGCAGUGAACAAAAAGCAGCUCUUCUCCUUUGUGUGGUGGCGAAAGUCAAAUUUUCACAGGGGUACAUAUAACUCUACUUGCAAAUAACAGCACAAGAGCCAGCCGUGCAGAGAAGUGUGCUCCUAUAGUGCAAAACAGAAUCUAUUCAAGAAGGAGAAACAUCAACAG
Long non-coding RNA from Numida meleagris (helmeted guineafowl), 6496 nucleotides. RefSeq lists it as uncharacterized. The transcript is spliced from 5 exons. NCBI's taxonomy places the organism in Eukaryota, Metazoa, Chordata, Aves, Galliformes, Numididae. The record is from RefSeq and is a predicted model, not a curated record.